Molecule: ribosomal RNA, 253 nt
Filed under: uncultured bacterium
Lineage: Bacteria
Description: partial 16S ribosomal RNA
Rfam family: Bacterial small subunit ribosomal RNA
Source: RNAcentral
UACAGAGGUCCCAAGCGUUGUUCGGAUUCACUGGGCGUAAAGGGUGCGUAGGUGGCUGGGUAAGUUUGAUGUGAAAUCUCCGGGCUUAACCCGGAAAUGGCAUUGAAUACUAUUCGGCUAGAGGUUUGGAGGGGGGACUGGAAUUCUCGGUGUAGCAGUGAAAUGCGUAGAUAUCGAGAGGAACACCAGUGGCGAAGGCGAGUCCCUGGACAACACCUGACACUGAGGCACGAAAGCUAGGGGAGCAAACAGG